This 710-nucleotide small RNA is filed under the name Pongo abelii (Sumatran orangutan). RNAcentral's name for it is "processed transcript". The record is from RNAcentral. Lineage: Eukaryota; Metazoa; Chordata; Mammalia; Primates; Hominidae.
CAGCUCAUCAAGGAGUUUACACCUCUGGCUUCUAAAGGAGACGGAGUCUUUCCUGGGCAGAGCUCUGCUGAUUCAGUUUUCAUCAUCUUUUUGCUGCUCUUACGUUCAUCUCAGACUUUCUGAUUACUUUUCUGUGUAGAAAAAACAAGACCAGAAAGCUCCAGAUAAAGAGGCCAUACUCCGGGCCACCGCCAACCUGCCCUCCUACAACAUGGACCGGGCCGCAGUCCAGACCAACAUGAGAGACUUCCAGACAGAACUCCGGAAGAUACUGGUGUCUCUCAUCGAGGUGGCGCAGAAGCUGUUAGCGCUGAACCCAGAUGCGGUGGAAUUGUUUAAGAAGGCGAAUGCAAUGCUGGACGAGGACGAGGAUGAGCGUGUGGACGAGGCCGCCCUGCGGCAGCUCACGGAGAUGGGCUUUCCGGAGAACAGAGCCACCAAGGCCCUUCAGCUGAACCACAUGUCGGUGCCCCAGGCCAUGGAGUGGCUAAUUGAACACGCAGAAGACCCGACCAUAGACACGCCUCUUCCAGGCCAAGCUCCCCCAGGGGCCGAGGGGGCCACAGCAGCCGCCUCCGAGGCUGCCGCAGGGGCCAGCACCACCGAUGAGGAGGCCAGAGAUGAGCUAACGGAAAUCUUCAAGAAGAUCCGGAGGAAAAGGGAGUUUCGGGCUGAUGCUCGGGCCGUCAUUUCCCUGAUGGAGAUGGGGU